This is a long non-coding RNA of Rosa chinensis, 822 nucleotides long. RefSeq lists it as uncharacterized. The record is from RefSeq and is a predicted model, not a curated record. The transcript has 7 exons. NCBI's taxonomy places the organism in Eukaryota, Viridiplantae, Streptophyta, Magnoliopsida, Rosales, Rosaceae.
UUGAAGCAAUCAGUGUCAGAGAAAUCAUUUGAGCUAGAAGAAGAUGAACCUAGAACCAUUUUGCAGUUUACGGGGCAAAGAAACAUUGUUUAAAGGAAUGACCUUUACAAUUACACUCUUGCACUCAAGUUUUGGGGAUUUACAAUUUGCCAUCAAUUCUGAUAUAUAAGCAAAACGGAUGAUCUCUAAUGUUCGGGAAGCCUCCAUUACCAUCAAGAAUCAGUGUUAUCUAACCCGAAAGUCAGGGGUGAUCAAAAUCACUAGCUCGUCUCUAUAAAACGUCGAGCGUUGAGAUACAAAAGAAAAGAAAACUAUCUCACAAGAUCUGGAGUUGGAAUCACUUUUUCCAGGCAUGUCUCCAUGAUCUGGAGUUGGAGAAUGGUAUUGCUGUUCUGAAUAAAGAAAACUAUCUCACAAGAUCUGGAGUUGGAAUCACUUUUUCCAGGCAUGUCUCCAUGAUCUGGAGUUGGAGAAUGGUAUUGCUGUUCCGAAUAAAGGUUCUGCCAUUGGUAUUGGAUUUGGAACUUUGGGAUCGAAACUGCUUUAGCUACACUUACAUAGGAUCUAGAAAGCAACUAGAAUAAGGGGAUUGAGUUUAUGCUUUCGGUCAGCGGAGGCAACAUUCUAUCAUGGAUUCGACAUGAUUAUUUUGUUGUGGAUGAUAAGACUGCUGCACAUCAUGAGGUCACACAUUGCAGCUUCAAGCAUUCUUCAAAUCUUGCAUACUCCAUGGCUAGAUGGACAAAAUUUCAACUAUUAUACUCUACAAAGCAUGAAGCUGACAACUUUUCAGAUCAAUACACGAAUGAGCUUCGUGGUUGU